Rana temporaria (common frog) is the source of this 449-nucleotide long non-coding RNA. RefSeq lists it as uncharacterized. Lineage: Eukaryota; Metazoa; Chordata; Amphibia; Anura; Ranidae. The transcript has 2 exons. The record is from RefSeq and is a predicted model, not a curated record.
CAGGGACAGGAGACAGACUCGGCGGCUGGGGGGAGGACAAAGGAGUCCCGAAGGCAGAGAAAGAGAUAAUAAAGAAGAAGAGACAGAAUGUUCCCCUGAUCUUGGCCCCGAGCCAUCCUCCACUGCAGUGAUCAUGGCAGGAAGAUUACACUGUAAUAGCAACGUGGGCCUCAUCAUCUGAGCUCUUCAUUAGCCUUCAUCGUCUGCUAGGACUUGGAGAAUAAUUGACAUCAUUUUCAAGCAAUUCUUCUCGAGUAGUUUUAAGUAUCCUCUUUAAAUCAGGAUUUAAUGUCAAGUCACUGAGCUUAUAAUUCUAGAUGGGUCCUAAGGACCUCCCCUUAAACCAGCAGUGAAGUGUAAUUAGGGGACAUUUCGAUAAAAGGGGAAAUUUCUCUUGUUUCAUUAUUUUAGAAAACUUCUUGGCAUGCAAAAUAAAGUUUAUUUUUAUA